Carcharodon carcharias (great white shark) is the source of this 645-nucleotide long non-coding RNA. RefSeq lists it as uncharacterized. The transcript has 2 exons. NCBI's taxonomy places the organism in Eukaryota, Metazoa, Chordata, Chondrichthyes, Lamniformes, Lamnidae. The record is from RefSeq and is a predicted model, not a curated record.
GUGAACAGCUGCUGCUCGUUUUCACCAUUCACGUCCCCUUUCUGGAACAGCUGGAAGUUUGGCACAAACCCAUUGCCGGGACGGAUAUACCUGCGACCAAAUGGCAACAAAUUAGUUGUUGGGGUGAAAGGAAAACAUUUAAGGCUGGAGCUUCAAGCUAUGGCAUUGCCCACUAAGAACCCUGACACACCCAGCAACCUUUAGAAAUCACACCGCUCCUGUCUCUCCUGCUGGAUAUGGGCGCUCUCCAGCACCUUCCUCCAAGAUGCUGCCAGGUCAGCUGAGUUUUUUUUCAGCACUUUAUUUUUAUUCCAUUGGCUGGAGGAUUGGUAACAGGACACAGAAAGGGAGGUGAGAAGAAUUUUUAAACGCAGCAAGUUGUCAUGAUCUGAAACACACUGUCUGAAAGCAGGUUGAGAGCAACUUCCAAAAGGAAGGUGGAUAAAUAUUUGAAAACAAAACAUUUGCAGGGUUAUGGCGAAUGACCUGGCACAGGCACAAUGGACCCAAUGUUCUCCUUCUGUGCUGCACGAUUCUAUAGACUGCAACAUCUGGCUCGGAUCUUGCCCUUACCAAGUUGUAAAAACUGCCGAACAGUGUCGUGCUUUACUUUCCAUGCCAGCAUAUAAAAAAAAAUUUGGAGGA